CGAGGCGAUCGGAUGGUCGCGCGGCGACGGGGCAACCCGAGCGCCGUGAGGAAAGUCCGAGCUCCACAGCGCAAGGUAGCGGGUAACUCCCGCCCGCCGCGAGGCGAGGACGAGCGCCACAGUGACGAUGUCGCCGGCAAUGGCCGGCGAAGUGAAACGGGCAAGCUCUACCUGGAGCAAGGCCAAAUAGGAGGGCGCAACCCGGCUUGCCGGGGGAGAGGCGCGCUGCCCAGCCCUCGGGUCGGCCGCACGAGCUGGCGGGUAACCGCCGGCCUCAGAUGGAUGGCCAUCCCCGUCGCCGCCUCGGUGGUGACGGGACAGAACUCGGCUUACAGAUCGCCUCGCUGG
This 348-nucleotide RNase P RNA is filed under the name Chloroflexota bacterium. RNAcentral describes it as "Chloroflexi bacterium (groundwater metagenome) RNase P RNA component class A". It matches the Rfam family "Bacterial RNase P class A". From Rfam's summary of the family: Ribonuclease P (RNase P) is a ubiquitous endoribonuclease, found in archaea, bacteria and eukarya as well as chloroplasts and mitochondria. Its best characterised activity is the generation of mature 5'-ends of tRNAs by cleaving the 5'-leader elements of precursor-tRNAs. The record is from RNAcentral. Lineage: Bacteria; Bacillati; Chloroflexota.